Molecule: ribosomal RNA, 161 nt
Filed under: Nicotiana attenuata
Lineage: Eukaryota; Viridiplantae; Streptophyta; Magnoliopsida; Solanales; Solanaceae
Description: rRNA SSU_rRNA_eukarya
Rfam family: Eukaryotic small subunit ribosomal RNA
Source: Rfam by way of RNAcentral
CACCGCCCGUCGCUCCUACCGAUUGAAUGAUCCGGUGAAAUGUUCGGAUCGCCGCGACGUGGGCGGUUCACUGCUCGCGACGUUGCCAGAAGCGCAUUGAACCUUAUCAUUUAGAGGAAGGAGAAGUCGUAACAAGGUUUCCGUAGGUGAACCUGCGAAAG